This 376-nucleotide unclassified non-coding RNA is filed under the name soil metagenome. RNAcentral describes it as "partial contains 5.8S ribosomal RNA, internal transcribed spacer 2, and large subunit ribosomal RNA". The stretch from base 1 to 120 matches the Rfam family "5.8S ribosomal RNA", at positions 35 to 154 of the family's 154-position model. The record is from RNAcentral.
GAUGAAGAACGUAGCGAAAUGCGAUAAGUAAUGUGAAUUGCAGAAUUCAGUGAAUCAUCGAAUCUUUGAACGCAUCUUGCGCUCCUUGGUAUUCUGAGGAGCAUGCCUGUUUGAGUGUCAUUAAAUUCUCAACUACACUGACUUUGAAUUGGUGUGGCUUGGAUUUGGGGGGAAAAUUGUUGUGGGCUUUUUGUAUAGUCUGCUCCCCUGAAAUUGAUUAGCGGUACCUUUGUGGAACUGCCUACAGGUGUGAUAAUUAUCUACAUCUUAGACAUCUGCUGGAAUGCUGCUUUCUAAACCUUACUUGUAUUGACAAUCUUGACCUCAAAUCAGGUAGGACUACCCGCUGAACUUAAGCAUAUCAAUAAGCGGAGGA